CAGGACGGUAGCAAUACCGUUGCUGGCGACCGGCAAACGGGUGCGGAACACGUACACAACCUUCCUUUAAGUGGGGGAUAGCCCGGGGAAACCCGGAUUAAUACCCCGUAAUAUAUAGAAGUGGCAUCACUUUUAUAUUAUAGCUCCGGCGCUUAGAGAUGGGUGUGCGGCUGAUUAGAUAGUUGGCGGGGUAACGGCCCACCAAGUCGACGAUCAGUAACUGGUGUGAGAGCACGACCAGUCACACGGGCACUGAGACACGGGCCCGACUCCUACGGGAGGCAGCAGUAAGGAAUAUUGGUCAAUGGACGCAAGUCUGAACCAGCCAUGCCGCGUGGAGGAUGAAGGUCCUCUGGAUUGUAAACUUCUUUUAUUUGGGAAGAAAUCUAUCUUUUCUUGGAUAGUUGACGGUACCAGAUGAAUAAGCACCGGCUAACUCCGUGCCAGCAGCCGCGGUAAUACGGAGGGUGCAAGCGUUAUCCGGAUUCACUGGGUUUAAAGGGUGCGUAGGUGGGCAGGUAAGUCAGUGGUGAAAUCUCCGGGCUUAACCCGGAAACUGCCAUUGAUACUAUCUGUCUUGAAUACCCUGGAGGUGAGCGGAAUAUGUCAUGUAGCGGUGAAAUGCUUAGAUAUGACAUAGAACACCCAUUGCGAAGGCAGCUCACUACGGGAAUAUUGACACUGAGGCACGAAAGCGUGGGGAUCAAACAGGAUUAGAUACCCUGGUAGUCCACGCCCUAAACGAUGGAUACUCGACAUCAGCGAUAAACUGUUGGUGUCUGAGCAAAAGCAUUAAGUAU
Molecule: ribosomal RNA, 800 nt
Filed under: uncultured Flavobacteriia bacterium
Lineage: Bacteria; Pseudomonadati; Bacteroidota; Flavobacteriia
Description: bacterial SSU rRNA
Rfam family: Bacterial small subunit ribosomal RNA
Source: RNAcentral